RNAcentral lists this transfer RNA (73 nucleotides) under Roseovarius sp. 217 phage 1. RNAcentral describes it as "transfer RNA-Pro". Lineage: Duplodnaviria; Heunggongvirae; Uroviricota; Caudoviricetes; Schitoviridae. The record is from RNAcentral.
UCGGCGUGGCAGGUCUCGAACCUGCGCUCUCCUGGACCCAAACCAGACGACUUACCAACUAGCCUACACGCCG